GCCGAACCUUUUAAUUUGGGUAAUCUUGCCCAAGAUUGCAAAAUUAGCUUCAAUUAUACCCUUUGGUCAAAAUUGAAGAUAAAAAAUAAUAUUACAUUAUUUUCAAUUACACCCUCAAAGAGUUACAUUUUAUUCACUUGUUUAUUAGCACAACAUAAGAGUGCAUAUUUAUAAUGAAAGAUACAAUAUAUAUAUGGCAUCCCAUAAAUCA
This 211-nucleotide unclassified non-coding RNA is filed under the name Hevea brasiliensis (rubber tree). The record is from RNAcentral. Lineage: Eukaryota; Viridiplantae; Streptophyta; Magnoliopsida; Malpighiales; Euphorbiaceae.